CAGUACAUUGGUAGCUGAAAGCCAGGGGCGGUAGCGUG
This is a non-coding RNA of Serratia proteamaculans 568, 38 nucleotides long. The record is from Rfam. NCBI's taxonomy places the organism in Bacteria, Pseudomonadati, Pseudomonadota, Gammaproteobacteria, Enterobacterales, Yersiniaceae.